AUUUUUUCACUCGUGUAUGUGUUUUAUCCAAAUAAAGAUAAUAAACCUUUUUUUUAGAAAUCUUUGCAUGUUUUACUGACAUUUCUUAUAAACUAUGCCAGUUAAACAGUAAGGAGUGACUAUUAACUUUCAUCUACAUUUUUUCCAUUUAAGGCUAUCUAUCUCAUCAGAAAUCCCAGAGAUGUUCUUGUUUCUGGUUAUUUUUUCUUUAGUAAGACAAACCUUAUGAAGAAACCAGAGUCACUGGAGACUUAUUUUGAAUGGUUCCUCAAAGGCAAUGUUCAUGUAGGCAGGACACUCCAAGGCAAAUGUUUUGUGAAUUUCUUGCUGUCAUUAUCCUUCCACUGGGACUCCUACCUGGUAACAGGACGUGGCAUUGUAGACUCCAUAACUCCUACUGUGAAGAGUCGCAGACAGAGUCACCACAAUAGAGUCCCUGGAGUCUCCCCAUGCCAGAUCUCAGAGACUAUUUUGUUGGCCUGGAACUCUCUAUAUAGUCUGGGAUGACUUUGAAGCUUGGCUCCUACUUCUGCUACUUUUUGAAUUCUAGGACUACAAACACCUACUGUGUACUUUAUUGAAUUGAUUCUGAGGCUAAACCCACAAUUUCAUGUGGAUUACCUAACUUGUCUAAAUCUCUAGCCAUUGAGGAACUUUUGUAGGCUCCAUUUUGUGCCUCUACAUUCAACCAGUCUGUGGGCCAAAGGCUCAUCAACAUUUCAAACCUGAUUGUGAAGUCUUUCUGUUCUUACACACCACUAAAGAACAGGAAACAGCCACAGCUUGUGCCAUUAUGUACAAUUUCAGCACCAUUUGGAAUAUCUUGUCUUUCCAACUUAAUGUAGAUGCAUCAGUCUUCAUUUUAGUAAGACAUGUCCCACAUAGGCCCCCACAUUUGAAUACUUGUUUCCCAGUUGGUGGUGCUUUUCCAGAAUGUUUAUGAGACACAGCCAAGUUGGAGGAAGUAUUCAAUUCAUGGAGGGCUUUGAGAGAUUAAACUCUUAAGCACCUUCCAGUGUACUCCCUCUGCUUUCUGCUUGUAGUAAAGGAAAUGAAAUCCCAGCUUCCUGUUUCUAUAGCUUUUCCUGCCAUGGACAAGUUCUCUCUUCCUUAAGUUGUGUUUUUCAUGUUGUUGUUUUAGCACAGCAACAGAAAAAUAACAAAUGCUAUUUUCUUCCUA
Long non-coding RNA from Grammomys surdaster, 1180 nucleotides. RefSeq lists it as uncharacterized. The record is from RefSeq and is a predicted model, not a curated record. NCBI's taxonomy places the organism in Eukaryota, Metazoa, Chordata, Mammalia, Rodentia, Muridae. The transcript is spliced from 2 exons.